AGAUGUGUGGUGUUGGUGAAGGCAGUGACCAAUAGUUGACGUUCAAUCAACUGGCUGCUGGGGUCCAGCCUCUUUAAGAGUUGGGGUCAUCAAGAACUAGGGUACCUGGUAGCAAAAUAAGAAAACACAGAAUUGAGUUACAGUAUUGACAGGCUGGCCUUUUUUGGUGUGUGAGCCCUUGAAUUCGGGAAUCAGGGCGCUCACCUAGACUUGACUCAGCCCCAGUCUUUUAUUGAAAUCAUAAAAGGAAAUUGGAUUGUGAAAUUCAUAGGGGGGGUGGGUAAAUGCUUCUUUAUAUUCCUGUGCCAACGGUUUUUUAUGACACAGAAUAUUACAGAUUUAGAACAGAAAAAAGGGAAGUAUGCAAUCUCAGACAUAAAAAUUUAACAGCAAGUACAAUUUUUUAUAGCACCUGACUACCAGUCUCCACUAUGGUUUCAUAAAAGGGCAAGCUAGAGGUCAUACUGCUGACCCUGCAGUCUUUAUAAUUUUUGGACCCCAUCUGACUUUCUACAAAAACAUCCCCAACCAACCUGUAUAGAAAAUUCCAAGAGGAUUACCACCAUCAACCCAAAAGCCAAGGAAUCCAUUGGUAACUUUCUGGAAAAUAUCUGUAUAUUAUUCCAUCAUCAAUUUUAAAUAAAAAUAUCCUAUUUUACUAUACAGAAUUGAGACAAAGACUGGAGGAACAGCUGCAGAAUUACUCAUCUCUGCCAGUGGCCCUAGGUUAGUUUCAUUUCCACCUAGAGUGAGUGACUGUAACAUAUAUUUCUCUUGAAUUCAUAAACAGCCUUCACUUUAAUAUUAUUGGUAACAUCUAAUUUCUGGAUAUUAAGCAGUCUACUAUUAGAUUUUGCCAGGUCACCAAAUACCAGUUUAAUCAAGGAAGGAAGAAAGAGAAGAAACAGCAAAUAGAUUAAAAGAGUAAUAAAUACUAAGAAUAAUUGCAAAAAUGACAUCAUGAGUUGCUUGCAUCAAAUAAGCAGGCCUGGGGUCUCUCAGUACUCAUACAGGGGCCCACAAGAGGCCAUUGCCUCAUGCUCUAAACACAGUACCCGAGGCAUGUUUACAUUUCUUGUCAUCAGGGAUCCCAGGCAUCUCGAGUUUAAUGUGGGGUGUCACCAACAAGUGGCCCCAAAUGGCUCAAACCAUCUGUAUGUAUGCAAUCACAACCCUGCUCUCCUGUGCAGUAACAAAAUCAUUGAUUUUUUCUUUUAAAUCAAGAGAAAUCAUAGCACCAGUAUUAUAAAAUCUCCAUUCUUUUGCACAAAGUUCCCAAUAGCUUCUCUUUUUCCCUCCCCACUCUCACUAGGUCAAUCACCCUUUAACCUUGUUUUGAACCUCAGAGCACAGUUUCAGGAAGCC
Mus caroli (Ryukyu mouse) is the source of this 1365-nucleotide non-coding RNA. The record is from RefSeq and is a predicted model, not a curated record. Lineage: Eukaryota; Metazoa; Chordata; Mammalia; Rodentia; Muridae.